UACGAAGGGUGCAAGCGUUACUCGGAAUUACUGGGCGUAAAGCGUGCGUAGGUGGUCUGUUAAGUCUGAUGUGAAAGCCCUGGGCUCAACCUGGGAAUUGCAUUGGAUACUGGCAGGCUAGAGCGCGGUAGAGGGUAGUGGAAUUCCCGGUGUAGCAGUGAAAUGCGUAGAGAUCGGGAGGAACACCAGUGGCGAAGGCGACUACCUGGACCAGCACUGACACUGAGGCACGAAAGCGUGGGGAGCAAACAGG
Molecule: ribosomal RNA, 253 nt
Filed under: uncultured bacterium
Lineage: Bacteria
Description: partial 16S ribosomal RNA
Rfam family: Bacterial small subunit ribosomal RNA
Source: RNAcentral